UACAGAGGGGGCAAGCGUUGUUCGGAAUUACUGGGCGUAAAGGGCGCGUAGGCGGCCUGUUAAGUCGGACGUGAAAUCCCCGGGCUCAACCCGGGAACUGCGUCCGAUACUGGCAGGCUUGAAUCCGGGAGAGGGAUGUGGAAUUCCAGGUGUAGCGGUGAAAUGCGUAGAUAUCUGGAGGAACACCGGUGGCGAAGGCGGCAUCCUGGACCGGCAUUGACGCUGAGGCGCGAAAGCCAGGGGAGCAAAGCGGG
This 254-nucleotide ribosomal RNA is filed under the name uncultured bacterium. RNAcentral describes it as "partial 16S ribosomal RNA". It matches the Rfam family "Bacterial small subunit ribosomal RNA", at positions 524 to 777 of the family's 1533-position model. The record is from RNAcentral.